This 496-nucleotide long non-coding RNA is filed under the name Helianthus annuus (common sunflower). Lineage: Eukaryota; Viridiplantae; Streptophyta; Magnoliopsida; Asterales; Asteraceae. The record is from RNAcentral.
UUUACUCCUCGGAUUUUGAGUCGAAACCUUCGUCAAAGGAACAAGUGAUAUGAUGGUCGUUGGCGGCUAUUGAUUGGUAACAUUCCGGUUCACGUGCAUUGGUGCUAUCAAAACACUCGUCGGUUUCUAAAGAUAAUGCAGAACAUAGAGAGAGAAUGAAAGAGGAGUGAGAAUUCUGAUCCCAUGGAUGAGGAUGAUUAUGAUAUGGCGGAGAUUAGGGCGACUCAUUUUGAGGAAUCAAUGAAGUAUGCCCAGCGAAUUGUAAGUGACGUUGACACCAGGAAGAACCAGUCAUUUGAUCAGAUGUUGCAGUAGUCGAGCAGAUUUCGAUACAAAGUGAAAGAAACAAGUGUUGGUAGUGACGUCAAUGGACUUGCGGGACAAGAAAAAGGAUGCAUAUUAAUAUUACUAUGUCUGCAAAUAUGAACACUUCCAUCGCCAUGUCUCUACUCUCUGUAAAUCAAUUUACUUUCUUUUUAAACUAUAACAGAUUCAA